UGGCUCAAUGGUAGAGCGUUCGACUCAAAUACCAAAGGUCGCGGGUUCGAAUCCCNN
RNAcentral lists this transfer RNA (57 nucleotides) under Schistocephalus solidus. It matches the Rfam family "tRNA", at positions 8 to 63 of the family's 71-position model. From Rfam's summary of the family: Transfer RNA (tRNA) molecules are approximately 80 nucleotides in length. Their secondary structure includes four short double-helical elements and three loops (D, anti-codon, and T loops). Lineage: Eukaryota; Metazoa; Platyhelminthes; Cestoda; Diphyllobothriidea; Diphyllobothriidae. The record is from Rfam by way of RNAcentral.